Molecule: ribosomal RNA, 483 nt
Filed under: uncultured bacterium
Lineage: Bacteria
Description: bacterial SSU rRNA
Rfam family: Bacterial small subunit ribosomal RNA
Source: RNAcentral
ACGACGCUGGCGGCGUGCUUAACACAUGCAAGUCGAACGAGGGUUAUUGGAGAGCUUGCUCGAAGGUAACUCGAGUGGCGGACGGGUGAGUAACGCGUGAGCAACCUGUCUCACACAGGGGGAUAACGCAUCGAAAGAUGUGCUAAUACCGCAUGAGACCACGGAAGGACAUCCUUCAGAGGUCAAAGGAGAAAUCCGGUGUGAGGUGGGCUCGCGUCUGAUUAGAUAGUUGGUGAGGUAACGGCUCACCAAGUCAGCGAUCAGUAGCCGACCUGAGAGGGUGAUCGGCCACAUUGGGACUGAGACACGGCCCAGACUCCUACGGGAGGCAGCAGUGGGGAAUAUUGGGCAAUGGGCGCAAGCCUGACCCAGCAACGCCGCGUGAGGGAAGAAGGUUUUCGGAUUGUAAACCUCUGUCCUGUAUGAAGAGGAGAAGACGGUAGUACAGGAGGAAGCCCCGGCUAACUACGUGCCAGCCGCAGC